Molecule: ribosomal RNA, 485 nt
Filed under: uncultured bacterium
Lineage: Bacteria
Description: partial 16S ribosomal RNA
Rfam family: Bacterial small subunit ribosomal RNA
Source: RNAcentral
AGUGAACGCUGGCGGCGUGCUUAACACAUGCAAGUCGAACGAGAACGGAAUAUAGCUUGCUAUAUUUGUCAGCUAAGUGGCGCACGGGUGAGUAAUGUAUAGAUAACCUGCCCUUAAGAAAGGAAUAACAGUCGGAAACGACUGCUAAUGCCCUAUAUGCCUUUAAUACAUAAGUAUGCAAGGGAAACGCUUUAGUGCUUAAGGAUGGGUCUGUAUGGUAUCAGCUUGUUGGUGAGGUAAUGGCUCACCAAGGCGAUGACGCCUAACUGGUUUGAGAGGAUGAUCAGUCACACUGGAACUGAGACACGGUCCAGACUCCUACGGGAGGCAGCAGUGGGGAAUAUUGCACAAUGGACGAAAGUCUGAUGCAGCAACGCCGCGUGGAGGAUGACACAUUUCGGUGCGUAAACUCCUUUUAUAUAGGAAGAUAAUGACGGUACUAUAUGAAUAAGCACCGGCUAACUCCGUGCCAGCCGCCGCGGUAA